Molecule: long non-coding RNA, 14881 nt
Filed under: Triticum aestivum (bread wheat)
Lineage: Eukaryota; Viridiplantae; Streptophyta; Magnoliopsida; Poales; Poaceae
Description: long non-coding RNA (TAES_LNC025974)
Source: RNAcentral
ACCGGAUGACCUCGAGCCUCUGCCGUGUCAUCGGUGGGUCGCGUGGCCUGGCGUGGAGCAGGGCGCCGAGAGCCGGCGCCGGCGACGUCCGGCUGACCUCCCGGACGAACGCCGGCGACCCCGGCGAGCCGCAGGGCCUGAUCGCCUGCGCCGUGCUGUCCACGUGGCUCCCCGUCAGCCCGACGUCUCUCCUGGAUUUCCUGAGGGACGAAUCACGACGGCCCGAGGUAAUCUGCAGCCGCCGUGCACAUUUCCUGUUGCAAAUGCUCUAGAAAGGAUGUGCGUAACCACCACCCAUCAAAUUGUUGCAGUGGGAUGUCACGCUGGCCGGACGAGCCGUGCAACGUCGCGUGAACCUGACCAAGGGGAAGGACCGUUGCAACUGCGUCACCGCCUACGUAAGUUCCAGAGCCGACGAACAGGGCGGCGAGUGGAUCGUGCAGGACAGCUGCACCAACCCGUGCGAGUCGAUCGUCGCGUACGCGCCGGUCGACGCCGCCGUCCUGCAGCCGGUCAUCCGCGGCCACGACUCGAGCGGCGUGGCACUCCUGCCGUGCGGCUUCGCGGUCGUGCCGGACGGGCUGGAGUCCCGGCCCGCGGUGAUCACGUCCAGGAAGGAAGACGGGGCGAUGGCGGGAGCGGGGUCGCUGGUCACCGUGGCGUUCCAGGUGCUGGCCAGCUCGUCGCCGGCGGCCGCGCUCUCGCCGGAGUCGGCGGAGACCGUGACGAGCCUGGCGUCCUGCACGCUGCGUCGCGUUAAAAAGGCCUUGGGGUGCCAAGACCGCUAACGAAUAUUGUACAUGCAUCAUUUGCCUCCGUUUCUUGAAAAAAAUAGUGUACAUGCUGGACAGGAUGUUUACAGGAUAAAAUAGUACUCUCUGGAAGAUACUGUACAGAUAAAGAGAUAAAUGGAUGUUUUGGUUCGCAUAAUUGAGACGUGUAUAAUCAUAUGCGAAGUUCGGUCGUGCUUGAGGAUAGAUCUUGGUUGUUGAUAGAGCAGGCUUGUUCCUAUCCACGGCGGAACGCAAAAAUAUGCAAAGACCGAUCCAAGUGUCUGGAUUGCAUUGUUGAGAAAUAAAAACACGUGAUCAAUUGUAUGGGAGGGAUGCCUCUCAGAAGGUGUCUGUUGGGGAAGAGGUGUCUCCUCAACACAUCCCUUCAUCAUGUAUAUAAGUGGGUCUCCCACAUCGCAAUGGAACUAGUGGAUCACUUGUGUCUCCCAUUUGUCUCCUUUACUUUGAUACUACAAGACGUUAUCAGCACUUAGGGUGUGUUUGGUAGGGUGCAUGAAGGGUGCGUGAGGACAAAAGUUUCCAAUCCGACCCACUUUUGAUUGUUUGGUAGGGUGCAUGGGCUCACCUGAGCUAUGCUCAUCUGAUGCAUAAAAGUGCCCUCAACCAUGCUCAUCUCAUGCACCCCACACAGGGUACAUGGAGGCAGCUAUGUUGGCCCUGACACUCGUCUCCACCGACCAGACCACCUUCAGAUAUGUUUAUUCUUUUCAAAAAGAAUCAGAAUUUCAAAAAUUGUUUAAAUUUUUGAAAACUUUAGAAUUUCAGGAAAAUGGAAAAAUUUUGAAUUUCAAAAUUGCUUAAAUUUUCAAAAAAAAUCAUAAUUUCAAUAUUUUUUGAAUUUUCAAUAAAUAUUUGAAAUUUCAAUUUUUCUAAAAAAAUCAUAAAUGUUCGGAGUUUCAAAAGGAAAUCAAAAUUGGUUUGAAUUUUGAAAAAAAAUAGUAUUUUAAUUUUUUAUAAAAUAUUCAUUUUUUUCUAAAUUUUCAAAAAAAACUCGUAAUUUGAAAUAUGUUUAAAUAAAAAAUAGAAUUUUAAAAUUUAUUUUAAUUUUCCAAAAAAGUUUAGAAUAUCAAAUUUUAUUCAAAUUUUCAAAAUAUGUUUAAAUUUGUGUUGGCAUUUGUUUUAUUUUGUUCAUCAUUAAAUAUUUUUUUUCAGAAUUCGAAGUUGUUCAGCAUGUCUAAACACAUGCAGCUGCCAAACAAAAUCUCAGCUUAGCAUGUUUCAGCGCAUACAUCACUGCCAAACAACAGCAACUGCAUGGACUCAGCAUGUAUGAGAUAAGAACAAUUAGGCUAGGUCUAUACAUGCUACCAAACACACCCUUAGACUCAAUCGAGAGCAAUUAGCGACACGAAAAGAAACUGUUGAGUGGCCGUUCUUUUGAACAUCGGCCAGUAUGCACGGAGGCGCUCGGCCGUGACAGCGCUCCUCCGAGGCGGACGCACGACGCCAGUGCGUGAAGGCGUCGAUAGCAGAACUGCAAGGCGGCGGCAACAGCAUGCGAUGACAGGGUUGAUUGCGCAAGGACAUGCAGCGGCAAUACCAUGGAGCAUGCAUGCAUCCGUACAGAAGAUUAAUCAUGAGAAUGUUAAUUUCUUUGUCUUCUUGUGAUUAAGGGAUACAAGAAUCUGAUCCAUUUGUUUUCAUGCGAGAAUUGCUUGGCUCUUCGCUGAGAGGAAAACUCCAUCUAAGCAGCAGUUACGUACGCUCGCGGCAGCCGGCGGAGUCGUCCUGUUGCAUUCGCAUCCGGCAAGUGAAGGCCUCUGAUGCGGAUCCAUUCAACGCAGAACUGCCUGGUUCCACGCACAUAUUGGGAUUAGUCAAUUGAUUGCUUAAUCAAUCAUCUUUCAAUUAAUUUUUCCCUAUACAUCUACGCACUCACGAGAUUUACUUCCAUCUGAGCACGUACAGAAAGAGAAAACAAGAAGAAGAAUCUCAGACAUUGGAAUCCAUCGAUCCCAGGAAGAACGAGAAAAGAGUCAUGGCGGUGACGCGCCUGACGGCCACAAGGAAUCGACGAAGGUGGCUACGUGUGCAGAACAAGCAGCGCGACAUGGGGUGUUGUCGGGCCCGCGCGACGGUAUGAAUUACGGCGGCGGGAGGCAUCAUCAGCAAAAUGCCUCACGGCCGGCGACCACGAAUCUGUCCAAGUGCGGGGGCGUCCAUGGCCUUAGGGCGUAAUUGCGGCUGAGGCGGUGCCAAUUGCGCAUGAAGCCCUCGGUUUUGGCCGACGAUGCUCCCUCCGGCGUGGCCUCGACCGCGUGGCGCUCGAUUCGCCCGUACGGUAAAGCGCUCCGGCGCGGCUGAAAAUUUCCCAAAGGCAACGGUGGCUAUUCCUCUCAGGGAAUUGGUAAACGCACAACAGAAGAAGAGAAAAGAUAUCAUCUCUUCAGUGAUUUUGCAAAUCAGCCUUUUUGAUUGUAUGGAAAUCACGGAUAAAUCCUGACACUUUAGUUCGGAUUAUCCAACUUGCUGCUAAACUCUUAGGCUUAUUGAAAAUUACCCCGAGGCUUUACUAUUUUCAGCACUCUAACCACAUGGUUAUUGAUAUUUGCGUUUUAUGCCCCAGGCUUCAGAGCAAAUAUACAUGAUAGACCACAGGGUCUUGCUGAAUUGCAUAAUAAUUAAUUAUGCAUCAUUUUACAUCAUGUAAAAUGAUCGUUUGAGGCCCCCAAGUCCUCAUAUAUGUUACACAAGUAUGUUUAUACUUCUGCAUUUAUUCGUAUUACAUGAGUAAUACUGUUGCAAAGCAAUAUAUUGAUUCCAUUAUUGGCAAGAAUAUGGAACUUGCUUGCAAAUUCGGAAAACGUAAGGUAGAGAAAUGUAUGAAAUUGCCUGACUAUGUCAAAUUUACAUUUGUCAUAAGGAAUCGACAAAUGGCAUCUACUGCUUAAUUGCAUAUUAUCCAAUGUUAUUGUGAGGUCUAUAUUAUGUCAGUCUGACAUAAUGAUUACCUUCAAUUUUGCACACAACUUAUGGAUUGCAUGAUGGCAACGAAUCAUUUUCGUUCACAACUGCGAGGUCUACACUACCAUGUGGUGAUUACCUUCAAUGUGUUUUUUUAAUUAACACAAGGUUGUGAGAAGCUCCAUAAGAGUGAGAUCUACAGUACUUAGUGAUUAUCUCCAUGUGUUCGAAGCAAAAGUGAUGGCACAAAACUUAUGACAUAGCCAUUAUGAGGCCUACACUGUUGAUGCCUACCUUCAUGAUGUUUUUCCAGAUACUUGUCAAUUUCAUAGCAUUUGUCAUUGGUUGUGACUAUAGUGUCAAAUACUCCAUCACAAAAUGAAUCCAAGGAAAUGGUGACUAUGCUGUAUAUUAUGCUAUGAAGAGAAUUAUGCAAAACACUUGCAUAUUUUGGUGAUUACCUUCCAUGCAUACACAACUUAUGGGACGUCAUCAUAGUUAUGAAUUAAGUUUCAUGCAUAGCUGAGAGGUUCAUGCCAUUUUAUGGUGAUUACCUUCAUGUGUUAUAAAUAACAUAAGGUUGUGGAGGCUAUGAUCAAUGGGAACUGUCCAUAAGAGUGAGGCACCACUAGGUGGUCGACUACCUCUAUGUGUUUUAAGGAAAUUAAAGGUUUGUCCCUUUUGAGGUGACUACCUUUACUUGAAAGAUCCACACCACACUGUGGUGUUCUUCUGGAAGGCUUGCCCUAUGGGUCACUAAGAAUCACCAUCACCAUGAUUAUGCCUAGCCAUAGCAUUUUUAUCUUAAUGAAUUUACUAAAGGUAAAUUAAUGCAUGAGCAUUUCAUGCAGCAUAUGGCCGACCUUUUUGGAAAGGAAUUGUGAUGAGAUGACAUUAGGUGAGAGUAAUUAUUUAAAGAUUGGUCAUGGACAUUAAAGAAUAUGCAUGGCUAUCUAUAAAUAGCUAAGAAUAUGCAUAUUUGCAUAUAUAUGUGUCAUCGCAAUGACUUGGUUCUCAAACUGAGUAUGUAAUGGAUGAUGAACAUCCACUUUUCCCUUUGAGCCUUCAUUGAGGCAAGAUAUAUUGUUAUAAGCAUCACAUGGAUGAUUAUUCAUUCGUUGUUAGGACUUCGAGUCCGUUGAGCCUUAUAGUUUUGUUGUCUAUAAAUCAACACUAUGUUGAGAUUAUGUGAUAAGGCGGCUCCAGAUGCAUAUCUAAAUAUAAGUCCUUAUUGCACUUUACGUUCUCCUAGGAUGGUAAACAGAAAUAUCAUCUUUGUUUCAGAUUUGCAAUGCCUCAAAUUCAUGCUAGUGCUCUUAGUACUAAGCAAUAGUGGUCAGAGGACCACGGGAGUUGAAUGUAAAGUGAAGGAAAAAUGACAAGCAAAAAUGGAGUGUAUAUCUCAAAAGGGAAUGUGUCAUUUAAUCUAAAUGAUCAUAAUGACAACUUUCAAGUUUGUUGAAGUGGUGAUUGUACGAAAUGUCGUACCAAUGAUUCCCAAUUGGUAAAGUAUUGUGUUGAAUCAUAUCACCGACUCACUGGAGGAAAAUGAUUUUAAAGGGAUAAGUUUGAAGUUCUACUUCAAAAGGAAACAACCAGAAAAUAUUCUGGCAUGGUAGAAGGAGAAUGAACUCCUCUAUAUUGACGAUAUGCAUAUGGAAUGAUAUUCCAAAGAUAUUUUGGAUGUCUCAUGUAGUCUCCUAGUUAUCCCUAAAUAUCAUUAGCCUAUAAUUGUACUACUACAUGUAGUAUAAAUUGCAACAUCAUCUUCCUCGGACAUGAUAGUUGAGGAAAUUGAGUGUAUGAGUCAGUUCAUACUCAAUCUUGUUGCAUACACAAUAAAUUUUCCUCCUUUAUCAUCAUGGUAUUGGACGAUUAGAGAAAUUUUUGACAAUUAUGUUGGCCACAACUUGACAAGUCACAAUAUUCCCAACAAUCAUCACAUUGUUUUGUGCACUACAUGUGACAUUGGGGAAUUAAUUUUAAGCCACUCUCACCUUAAAAUUUGAAAUGAGCCAGCCAAUAUUCUGGAUUGCAUUCAAGAAUAUGUUUGGAUUAUUCAACCAUUAUCUGGGUUAUGUUGGUACUCCAUGGUGUUAAUAGACGCAUCUAGAGGAUGGUCUUAGAUGUGUAUCAUCUAUACAAAACCAUGUGUCUACUAAAUUAACUGCUCAAAUUGACGAAUUUAGAGCAAAUUAUCCUAACGUGGGCUAAUUCCAUUGGAAUGCAAAUAUCGUUGAAGUUGAUUCACGAGCAUUCAAUGGUUAUAUUCAGAAGUAUAUAGUACAUAACCUAAAUGGUUUGGCUUGAUCUCUUAUGAAAGAGAUUCAAUAUUGCUUGGCCAAUGUUCCAGAAUUAUGAUUUACCAACACUUUGUUGAUGGUGGCAUGCGGUCUCACACUCCGCGUAUUUGGUCUAAAUAAGAUCAAAUUAUACUUUACCCCCUUGCAGUUUGUACGUGGAAAUAAGUGAAGUAUUUUCCAUCUCGGUAAUUCGGUUGUAUACUGAUAUCACCACCCCAACAUACAUCAUGGGCCUUCACAUAUGGUUGGGAUCUAUGUGAGGAAUAACUGUGGUAUGUUCAUUAAUCCGCCGAAUACCUUAACCCUAGCAAGGGAGUUAUUUGCAGCCCAUACGCUGAUUGCUUUUGCAAUAAGAACAUUUUCUGGCAUUAGGGGGAGAUGUGUACCACAAAGAAUGCCAGGAAAUGGAUAAGAAAUGUCAUAGACAUUUUGUCCACAUACUUAAGAAUUUGAACUUCGGGUUCAGAUUAUGAGAAAUUUGCAACAUAUUGCAAAUAAUCUGCCAAGUAUAUUUACUGAUGACAAAGGUGUCACUAUGGUCAAGUACCAGUACGAGUGGAGGUACCAAAUAAACCACUCGUCCCCCUAGAUGAGAGCAAGAGGGGGAGAAUUUUGGUCGCAUGAGAUUGAAUUCUCAUAUGUUUCAGCGGAAACAGAGAAGAUUGACCCCUCGAUUAGUAAAUAUGAUUCAACCUCGGGUUGAAUGACACCUGAGGGAUGCGUGGCAUCCAAAGUCCAACACAUAUGUGCACACAUUCCUAGGUGUUGGGAUAUCAAAACACCUUGACUCCGUUGUUGUGGGAAAUCACAAGGAGUUAAGAUGUGUAAUAAGAAUUCCACAAUGAUAUUGAUUCAUGAGAAUCAUGUAUGAGAAAGUCUACAUAUGUCGACAUAAAAUUCUUCUCAAGAAUUGCUAUAAUCCUUUUGGGCCCUGAACCAAAUCCAUGGAGAGUGUUGUUGCACUUAUAUUGGUUCAAAUGAAAGGAAGCAAUUAAGGAAGAUUGACACUCGCUCAUCAAAAGAGAGGUAUUUACCAUUGUAAAACCUGCUCCUCAUAAGUAUCUUCCAGAGGGAAGGAAAGUGAAUUUUUGUUUGGAAACAAAAAUAAAUGAGGUGGUGAGAAAGCGAGGCUUGUAGCACAAGGGGUUUUCGCAGAGACCCGACAUCGGUUAUGAUGUAGCAUACCUUCUUGGUAUGAGUGGAAUUAUGUUUCGGUACUGAAUGUUAAUGGCAGUAUAGAUCCGUACGGUUGAUGUAUGUAAUGUCUACAUACUCCCAUGGGUCAAUUAGUUUGGAUGUAUAUAUUGAAGUCAUUGAAUGACUUAAUAUUCUGAAUCCAAAGGUAAAUCACAACAUGCAUGUGUGAAACUUCUGAAGUCAUUCUGUGACUUGAAGUGGUCGGAGAAUUGUGUGGUGCAACCGACUAAGUGAGUUAUUUCUUGACAAGGAUUACUCUCAUACUAAUGAUUGUUGACAUGUAUUCAUGAAGAAAUCCUGGGUUGGAUUUUACAUCACCUUAAUUUGUGGUGUCGAUGAUCUUAUCAUCAAAGUGUAUAUAAGACAUGAAAUACACACAAUCAUGUUAAGACGGAUAUUUGGGUUAAACCAAAUUAUGCUAAGCUUAUGACUUGAACAUAUCCCCCUAAGAUAUCAGUCUUCAUAUAUCCGAAAGUAUUGGAGAAGUUCAAUAUGGAUAUAUUAUAGCAAAGACACAUAUGGUCAUGUUAUACCUAAUAUGGGAUAUAGAUCCUUGAGACAUAGGGGAGAUGGUGAAGUGAUAGAUGAGCAUGAAUUGCCAUAUCUAAAUACCAUCGAAGCAGUCAUAUAUCUUGCAAAAUAUGUGAGGCCCGACACUAUAGUUUUUGGCAAUUUAUUGAGAGUGCAAUUCUCUGAAAGGUAUAAGGUUUGUGUAAGGAAUAUCCUGGGAUAUAUCCAGGGCACGAAGGGUCUUGAUCAAUUUCAUUCGAAAAAUCAAGAUGGGACCAUGGUUUAAUAUAUUGAUAGUGGCUAAUUAUCUGAUCCCACAAUGCCAUAUCAAAGACUGGGUUUGCUGGAAGAGUACUUUGAAGGAAGUAUUCAGAAUAGACUCUAAACGAGUCCUUCCAGUGAUCAUUCUAUUUCAUUUGAAGCAUCCAAAAAUGUGGAUGACUUCAUAGAAUGAUUGGCCACAUGUGAAAUCAUGUGGAGAUUAUCAUUAUCUACCAAGAUAAUGUCACUUUGUAUUGCUUAUGGGUUAUAUUUAUCCUUGUGAAUUACAGAAACAUAAUAGGAUAAUAUGCAAACAGAUUAUUGUGAUAUUCACAGUAUCUCUAUCCAUGUUUACAUUUCAGAACUAGGUUCGUGGAAUUGGUAUGAGAUAUUCUUGAGGUUUGCAAAGUUUAGGGGGAGUAAAAUCUCAAGUUAUAACCCGUUGGUGAUCCUCAAAUCACUCAUAUUGUACUCCUUUUCCCUUUAUGAGUUUUCCAUGAUGGUUUCUCAUAUAAGGUUUUUAACGAGACAAUAUAAAUACAAGUGCGGAUAUAUGCCAUAUUGGUUUCUCUUUAUAUUUUUUCCACUGGGUUUUAAAGGAGUUUUUGAUGGCAUAUUAUUAUAAGGUUUCUCCUCAAUUUUUCCCACAAGGUUUUUGGAGGAGUUUUCAGUUUGCAAUAUACAUGUGACGAAUUGAUCAAGGGGGAGUGUUGAGAAAUAAAAACAUGUGAUCAAUUGUAUGGAAGGGAUGCCUCCCAAAAGCACACCCCUUCACCAUGUAUAUAAGUGGGUCUCCCACAUUGCAAUGGAACCAGUAGAUCAUUUGUGUCUCUCAUUUGUCUCCUUUACUUUGAUACUACAAGAUGCAUGACGUCUCACUCACCCCAGGAAAAGAGCGACCUCCCAUUGCCAUCGCUGCAUUUAUAUGUUUCACACACUAGUAGUACGUGACAUCAUAAUUUGUUGCAAGUUGGGCCAGUUUUUUAUUUGUUGAACUUUGCAGGUUGGGUUAGAAUAAUCUUGCCGCAUAAAGAAGGAUUAAUUUGCGAACAACUUGGGGUUAGAUGGUUAAAGGGACAGUGUUACACAACCCAUCACAUCAGGGUUUAAAUCUUGAUGCUUGCAUUAUUUCUAGAUUUAUUUCAAAUUUUCUGGCGUUGUGCUUUCAAUGAGGGGAGACGUUUUCGUUGAUGAUGAGACGUCUAUAAUAACUUCGUAAAUCUCAAGAUGAUAGCCGGCUUAGCAUGUUGAAGAUGCUAAUAUGGAUAGAAUGUACGUGUAUACACUUAUAAAGAUGAGUGAAUGCAUGUAUAUAUGAGUACUUGUGUCUGUAUUGUGUUAAAAAAAGAUUGAUCUCCGUCCAACUAAUUCUGCAUGAAUUUUGGCGUGUUCUAACAGUUUUUGUGUAUCACGUAGGACUAAACUGGUGCGUGGACAUUCAUCCGGUCACCCACACGUUCUUUUUAUCACACGGGGGGCUGUGUGCGGGCGUUUAACAAUUCGCCCACACACGAGUUUUCACGCACGCAGAGGGGGUGGUGUGUGUGCGUUUAUCACUUCGCCCACACGCCCGUCUCCUCGCUCACACCCAAAGCUAAUAGUUGCCAUGUGUUUCUGCAGGGUACAUGGCAACUGCCAUAUCUUUCCUUGUAAGCAAAUGUCAACUCUUUUUUACCCGAGUUGCCAUGUGUUUUUGCAUGGUACAUGACAACUGUCCUAGCGUGCACAUAAACAGAUGACAACUCUUUCUCUUUACAUGGCAGCUGCCCUAGCAUGCCUGUGAAUACAUGGCAACUCUCUCUUUUACUCAAACAUGUUUUUUUGCCAUGCCUUUUUGUAGUGCUACACGGCAACUGCCUAGUGUUAGUGGGUGACAACUCCUAAAAUUUUGAAAUCAUGACAACUGCAGUAGACCAGACCAUACAUGGCAACUGCAGUUGCGCAACCAUGGCAACCGAAGUUCAGCGACAUGGCAACUACAGUUAAACGAACAUGAACGAGGGUCUGGACCAUGACAACUGUGGGACGCGCGGUGACUGUCACGCGGGGCGUGCGGGACCACGAGGUGCGAGGCUUAACGUACGGGGCGUGUGGCAUUAUCUAUUUCGCCCACACGCACGCGUGUGAGAGGGAUCGAGAAAAAAAGAGGUGUGUGGGCAUUACUUGUUUUUUUGAGCAUUGGGCAUUACUUGUUUUGUCCACACGUAAAUGUAUGGGCUGUUCCUCUUAUACAUCCUUUUAUACACCAUACAAAAUGUGUGAGCAGACUUCCUAACGCCCACAUCUUAUUACACUUAUCGGCGUCUUUUUCCUAAGAAAAAUAGAAUACGACCCACACCAGGCGACGCCGGGGCAAGCCACACCCCGACGGCACCGAUCACCGCGAGAACUUUGGCGUGUACGCAUUCGCGUGACACGACGCCAGCGGAAACAGCCAUCCGCCGCGGCGCCACCCCGCCCGCCCACCCGCCCGCCGUUUAUAGCGAACCCAGCGGCCGCACGCGGGUGCGCUCGGCACCCCACGUCCGCGCCCCUCGAUUCCACAGCAAGCACCCAACACGCCGCACGCGGCACGCGCCCGAGACGCUCGUACGGGCCGGCGCACCCUAGCCGGGCCGCGAUGCCCACGGCUAACGUGCGCGCGGCGCAGCCUGGCGCCNNNNNNNNNNNNNNNNNNNNNNNNNNNNNNNNNNNNNNNNNNNNNNNNNNNNNNNNNNNNNNNNNNNNNNNNNNNNNNNNNNNNNNNNNNNNNNNNNNNNNNNNNNNNNNNNNNNNNNNNNNNNNNNNNNNNNNNNNNNNNNNNNNNNNNNNNNNNNNNNNNNNNNNNNNNNNNNNNNNNNNNNNNNNNNNNNNNNNNNNNNNNNNNNNNNNNNNNNNNNNNNNNNNNNNNNNNNNNNNNNNNNNNNNNNNNNNNNNNNNNNNNNNNUUCCCCUCCCCCGCCGGCUGGUCCGGCGCGAUCGCGCGGUUUUCUUUGUCCCGUCGGCCUGAUUGGUGCUUGCUUGGGUGUUCACGCAGGUGACGGUCGCGUACAACAAGGAUCCCAGCCCCGUCAAGGUGAACCUCGGAGUCGGCGCCUACCGGACCGAGGUGAGAGGUGUUUUUUUGGGGAAUUUCAUUGAAUUGCUGCGCUUCCCUGUUGGAUCAGAGCUGGAUUUGACCAUGGCUGGUGUUUUGGUCCGAGUCAGGAAGGGAAGCCCCUCGUGCUGAAUGUGGUCAGGCGCGCCGAGCAGAUGCUGAUCCAAAACGAGUAAGUCUGGCUCCAAAUCGGGAUGAUCCGCAUGAUUUUCGUGCCCCUUUUAAGUGACUGAAGUUUCAUUCCGUGAGCUUGUAUCCCGAACUGAAUAAAAUCGGGAUUCAACUAGUCAUAGUAGAUCUGAUCUCUGGAUAAAAUACUCGUCCUAGCGUGGGAGUGUUGUUGUUGGUAUCCUUUUGUUAGUAGAUCGUGUGGCCAUCGUACUGUAUUCUCCAAUAUAAUUGUUGCCUAGGUAUUUUAUCGACCUUUACCGACCCACUUGUGAUUAUAAUACAUUUUCAGGCUAUUUUACUGGUUUCCCCAUGUUGUACGGUCGUGUAGGAUUAGCGGACGUAGUUGUACUCGCAGUUCCGGGCACGGCAUUGCUAUUCGAAUUUCCUUUGUCGCUAGUUACAGUAUAUAUUUCUCAGUAGAUGAUUCAGUUUUACAAGCACUGCAGCGUGUUCCAUUCCGUGUAUAGUAUAAACUGUUGACUCAUGGGGAGUUUCUUGUAUGAGUUUACAUAAAAUUUACUGCUGUCAGAACUGAGAACAAUUGUGUAUGGUAUCUAAAUGCUUGCAGUGGAAACUUAUGAUGGCAUAUUUGACCUCUAAUUCCUUACUUUGCUUAGGUCACGUGUUAAGGAGUACUUGCCGAUCACUGGAUUGGCCGAUUUCAACAAGUUGAGUGCCAAGCUUAUCUUUGGUGCUGACAGGUGUGUUUGUUAAACUACUACCUUUAACUGAUGAUAAUUUUGAGUCAAACCUUCAUACCAAAGAGUAAAAUUGUCUAAUUAAAGUACCUCCCAUUUCCUGGAUUAGUCCUGCUAUUCAGGAGAAUAGGGUGGCUACAGUGCAGUGCUUAUCAGGAACUGGUUCCUUAAGAGUGGGAGGUGAAUUUCUUGCAAGGCACUAUCAUGAAGUAAGGAGCUUUUCUUGUCUCCUUUAUUGGUUGCUAGACGUAAUUGCAUUGUUUAAUUUCUAAAUCAUGAACAUUUUCUCCAGCGCACUAUCUACAUCCCCCAGCCAACCUGGGGGAAUCACCCAAAAGUGUUCACUUUAGCUGGCCUGACUGCUAGGAGUUACCGGUACUAUGAUCCUGCAACUCGUGGACUGGAUUUCCAAGGUGCCUACUUCAAUUUUUCAUAUACACUACUAUGUGCUCAAUUUGCAAUUUCAGAGGACGACGUUUGCACACUUCUACUGGAUCGUUUUAGGCAGUCUUACUUAAUCAAGGAUAUGUUUAUGUGCUGCAGGACUCUUAGAAGACAUCAGUUCAGCUCCCUCAGGCGCAAUUGUACUGCUUCAUGCAUGUGCCCACAACCCUACUGGUGUCGACCCAACCUUGGAACAGUGGGAACAGAUCAGGCAGCUGAUGAGAUCAAAAGCAUUGCUGCCAUUCUUUGACAGUGCUUAUCAAGUAAGUAAUUGACAUGCCUAAUACUGAUGCUUCUUAGGGAAUAUGCCACAUGACUAUAUAGCCACAUAAUUUGUUGAUUCUUUGUUCACAUGGCAUAUUUUCUUCCAAAUAGCUUACAAAUAAAGUAAUGUGCUUGAAAUGACCUGUGAAGGGAUUUGCAAGUGGAAGCCUUGACAAAGAUGCCCAAUCAGUGCGCAUGUUCGUCGCUGAUGGUGGUGAAUUGCUCAUGGCUCAAAGCUAUGCCAAGAACAUGGGAUUGUAUGGAGAGCGUGUUGGUGCUUUAAGCAUCGUAAGUUAUCUUAUCCUAAUACUUUGUUAUUCACCUUUGUGGCCUUACCCUUAGUUUUUGGACUUGAAUUCGAGCUUGUAGGCAUCUUCUUGCUGUGUUGAUGGUAAUAAUUAACUUCCAGAAUUGCUUCCGCAGCUUUGUGGUCCAAUAUGCUAAAAUGCAUAUGGUUAUAGUUACAUACAGGUGUUUGCUAUACAGCUAUAGUUGCAGUUGUAUAUCUUAUACAACUGUAAUAAUUCUUAUCUACUUAUACCUCAGUAUGACAUGGAAACUUCUUUUAACCUUCUUUUAAUGAGAUAGUAGAUGUACUUGGUGAACUUGUGUCAUACAUAAGAGGCUGUAUUUCAUCUCAUAUUUUUCAUUUUAUUGAGUUGUUUGAGGAGCUGAAAGAAAAAAUCCAACUUAAUGUUGCAGGUUUGUGGGAGUGCUGAUAUAGCUGUUAAGGUUGAAAGUCAACUUAAGCUUGUAAUUAGGCCUAUGUAUUCGAACCCUCCUCUUCAUGGUGCUUCUAUCGUGGCUACCAUACUUAAGGACAGGUAGUAUUCUAUUCAAUCAUAGAAUGAGUUGUGUUGAAAUGAAUUUUUAUUGGCAGAUCGACAAAUCUAAUAAUUGGUAGUGCUUAGUUCUUAUUGACUAUUUUUUCUCAAUUUUUAGUGCGAUGUUCGACGAAUGGACUCUGGAGCUGAAGGCCAUGGCUGAUAGGAUAAUUAGCAUGAGGGAGCAGCUUUUUAAUGCGCUGAAAAUCAGAGGUACUCUACUAGUUUCUGUCAAAGUCCACUGUUUCCUCUUUGCUGUUAAUAACAUAAUUUAUGUCUGAAUAAUGGCUUUUUCAGUCUCAUAAUUUGUCCCAGGAUCUUCUAUCAGAACCUAGUGUCAUUUUAUUUUCAGCAAUUGAUACAAUUUCUCUGAACUAAUUGUUCUUUGGAUAUUAGUAUUACGUUAUUCUAAACAGAAAUUUCUUGGGUUAUUAGCAAAAUCUGAUAAAUAUCCGACCUCCUAUAUUUGUAUACGGUUUAUCUGAUAAAUAUCCGACCUCCUAUAUUUGUAUACGGUUUAUUACCAAGUUCCUGUUAAGUUCCCUGAAAUCUGAAGUUCAUGUAGUGCACUAACUGUUCUGGUUCAGGUCCAUCGGUCUCCAAGUUAUGGAUGUUCAAUCUUUUGGUCCAUUUCUUACUAAUUCCUCUAUGCCAAAGUGUUGACCAUUUGUCAUAUCAUGCAGAAACACCUGGAGAUUGGUCCCACAUCAUUAAGCAGAUUGGGAUGUUUACUUUCACUGGGCUCAACAGUGAUCAAGUAGCCUUUAUGAGGCAGGAAUAUCACAUUUACAUGACAUCUGAUGGGUAAUGCCUUGUGAAUUCUCACCCAUUUACAUAUCUCGUCACAAAUGCAUUAGUAGUGUAACUUUGAGGUCUUCUUUUGCAGUCGUACUGUUCAUUUACAUUUAGUAGACUCGACACUGCUUUCUUUGGUGGUUUUCAUUCUCAAGAGUCCCCUGUAGCUAGUUCAUAUUGACAGGUCAUAUAUUUUGUCUUGCAGGAGGAUCAGCAUGGCUGGUUUGAGCUCCAGGACUGUACCCCAUCUUGCAGAUGCCAUACAUGCUGCAGUUACAAAACUGAAGUGAAUGAUAACAUUGCAACCCCCUUCCGCAAUAAAAUCUUAAAUUGCCUACAGCAGUGUCCGAAGGGUUCAACCAGAGGUGUGUUACUGGCUGAACUCAAGAAUUUGCCUUGUAGACUCAUUAAAUUUGUUGUCGGAGACAGUUUUGUACACACCGGAUUAAAGAUUAUGGUGAUUUCGAAUCCUGAAUAAGCUGCAGUUGUGAUGCUUUCUUACCCUUGAAUGCUGAGGUAUUUAUCCUGCAGCGCUCUAUAAUGCCUAGUUUUGGGAAGCUAAUGUUUGUGAGCUGUAUGCGCGUUUUCGGUUGUUGCAUAUGGUGCUUUUAGUUGUUUCUGAGCUCAGGCUGGAAGAUCUU